Molecule: transfer RNA, 72 nt
Filed under: Camelus bactrianus (Bactrian camel)
Lineage: Eukaryota; Metazoa; Chordata; Mammalia; Artiodactyla; Camelidae
Also listed under: 3 other names
Rfam family: tRNA
About the family: Transfer RNA (tRNA) molecules are approximately 80 nucleotides in length. Their secondary structure includes four short double-helical elements and three loops (D, anti-codon, and T loops). Further hydrogen bonds mediate the characteristic L-shaped molecular structure. tRNAs have two regions of fundamental functional importance: the anti-codon, which is responsible for specific mRNA codon recognition, and the 3' end, to which the tRNAs corresponding amino acid is attached (by aminoacyl-tRNA synthetases). tRNAs cope with the degeneracy of the genetic code in two manners: having more than one tRNA (with a specific anti-codon) for a particular amino acid; and 'wobble' base-pairing, i.e. permitting non-standard base-pairing at the 3rd anti-codon position.
Source: Rfam by way of RNAcentral
GAGGAUACAGCUCAGUGGCAGAGCACAUGCUUAGCAUGCAUGAGGUUCUGGGUUCAAUCCCCAGUACCUCCA